Molecule: ribosomal RNA, 1289 nt
Filed under: metagenome
Description: bacterial LSU rRNA
Rfam family: Bacterial large subunit ribosomal RNA
Source: RNAcentral
CCGACAGGUGGUCAGGUAGAGAAUACCGAGGCGAUCGGGCGAACUGUGGUUAAGGAACUCGGCAAAUUACCCCCGUAACUUCGGGAGAAGGGGGGCCACAGACUGUCAUACCCCACGCGGGUGGCAGCAGUAGGUGGCCGCAGAGACCAGGGGGAAGCGACUGUUUACUAAAAACACAGGUCCGUGCGAAGUCGUAAGACGAUGUAUACGGACUGACGCCUGCCCGGUGCUGGAACGUUAAGGGGACCGGUUAGUCCGCAAGGGCGAAGCUGAGAACUUAAGCGCCAGUAAACGGCGGUGGUAACUAUAACCAUCCUAAGGUAGCGAAAUUCCUUGUCGGGUAAGUUCCGACCUGCACGAAUGGCGUAACGACUUCCCUACUGUCUCAACCACAGGCCCGGCGAAAUUGCACUACGAGUAAAGAUGCUCGUUACGCGCGGAAGGACGGAAAGACCCCGGGACCUUCACUAUAGCUUGACAUUGGUAUCCGAAUUUAAUUGUGUAGGAUAGGUGGGAGGCUUUGAUCCGCGGACGCCAGUCCGUCGGGGAGCCAACGUUGAAAUACCACUCUGUUGAAUUUGGGUAUCUAACUUCGGACCGUGAUCCGGUUCAGGGACAGUGUCUGGUGGGUAGUUUAACUGGGGCGGUUGCCUCCUAAAAUGUAACGGAGGCGCCCAAAGGUUCCCUCAGCCUGGUUGGCAAUCAGGUGUUGAGUGCAAGUGCACAAGGGAGCUUGACUGUGAGACUGACAGGUCGAGCAGGGACGAAAGUCGGGACUAGUGAUCCGGCACCUGCGAGUGGAAGCGGUGUCGCUCAACGGAUAAAAGGUACCCCGGGGAUAACAGGCUGAUCUUCCCCAAGAGUCCAUAUCGACGGGAUGGUUUGGCACCUCGAUGUCGGCUCGUCGCAUCCUGGGGCUGGAGUAGGUCCCAAGGGUUGGGCUGUUCGCCCAUUAAAGCGGCACGCGAGCUGGGUUUAGAACGUCGUGAGACAGUUCGGUCCCUAUCCUCCGCGCGCGUAGGAGACUUGAGAAGAGCUGUCCCUAGUACGAGAGGACCGGGACGGACGAACCUCUGGUGUGCCAGUUGUCAUGCCAAUGGCACGGCUGGUUAGCUACGUUCGGAAGGGAUAACCGCUGAAAGCAUCUAAGCGGGAAGCUCGCUUCAAGAUGAGGUCUCCCACCCCUUGAGGGUUAAGGCCCCCAGCUAGACCACUGGGUUGAUAGGCCAGAAGUGUAAGCCUGGUAACAGGUUCAGCCGACUGGUACUAAUAGGCCGAGGACUUCACUG